GUGAAUUUAGAGCGUAACUUCGGUUAGCUCAACCUUCAUUUUCCAACUCUGUGCACUAUUGGCGGACUGAGAGUAAGUAAUUACUAUUCAGUCUGCGGCUCACUAUUAAACAUUAGUUAAAGUAUGUAUACAAAAAACAAAACAAAAA
This 148-nucleotide unclassified non-coding RNA is filed under the name uncultured fungus. RNAcentral describes it as "sequence contains ITS1, 5.8S rRNA gene". The record is from RNAcentral. Lineage: Eukaryota; Fungi.